UUGAUUUAAUAACGGUUCGAAGGUUCGCCUUUAUAUUUAUUAAUCGAGUUUUUUUUUUUUUUUUGUGCUGACUUUGUGACUAACUCAAAUCGGAAGCAGAGCCUAAAUUACCACCCAUCCCUGCACAGUGGUAAUCCGCACCUGUGCUGGGCAGCAUUCAAGUGGAUUGUGUGGUUCAAAGCGAACGAGAACGAAAGCAGCAGCGGCAGCAGCAGAUGAGAAGAUUUCUGAAAUAUUUGUGUGCACGCCGCAGCAGCAGAUAAGCGACAUUUCAAUUCAAUUAAUGGCGCGCGCAGCACAAAACACAUAUGUAUAUAUAUACACACACAUACACGAGCACACACAUAUUGCAGCAUAAAACUGGCGAGAGGCUGAGAAUAAAACUGUAAUCGUAAUCCCUGCAGAGCAAGAGUAACAGCAGCAGCAGCAGCAUAUACAACACCAAUAACAACAACAACAACAACGGCGACGCCAGCCAAGUCUCUUUCGGCAGCAGCGCGCAGCGAAUAAGAAGUAGUGUAGUAUGAGAAGAAAAAAAUUUUUUCUUCAACCAAACGUAAUUGCACUGACUACGGUGCUUAGAUUUGCAAUGGAAAUGCACAUAAAACUGUUUGAAUGCUACUCACGCGUACAAUUGAACACUUGUGGUCCGUUUUUGUGGCCAGUUUGUUUACUUUAAUGCGCCAUAAGUAUGUGAAAUUUGUUAUUUAUUUGAAAUUGUUUAUCAUAGGAACUGCACACACGACGACGACAACGACAACGACGACGACGACAAACGACCGACGACAGACACGAAGGGUGUACAACACGAACUAGCUACAACAGUAGCGUUUUGCAACACUAACGCGCUGCCACUGCUCUUUGCCAGAAAAUGAAUAAAUGCUUUUCAAACAA
Molecule: long non-coding RNA, 894 nt
Organism: Drosophila grimshawi
Lineage: Eukaryota; Metazoa; Arthropoda; Insecta; Diptera; Drosophilidae
Exons: 2
Source: RefSeq, a predicted model, not a curated record